RNAcentral lists this long non-coding RNA (281 nucleotides) under Olea europaea (common olive). RNAcentral describes it as "long non-coding RNA (OEUR_LNC014195)". Lineage: Eukaryota; Viridiplantae; Streptophyta; Magnoliopsida; Lamiales; Oleaceae. The record is from RNAcentral.
GCUGCUGUUUAAGGAAGGAUAGUUGAUAGUGCCUUGGAUAAUAAUUGACUUUAAUGAUUCUGUCACUGAAUUUGAUUUGGCUUCAAAUGCACAUCAUUUUUAUGAUUAUUAGCUUGAGAAUAAUGGCAUUGUUGUCAUUUGGGGAAGAAUAAAUCUGCCAUGGUUUUAUAUGGCGAAAUCAGAAUUUUGUUCCUCUACAUUUGUACUGGAUUUGGUGACAGUAGAUAUGCGUGAGAGGCACAUGGGAAAGGUAAAUAAUGGAUUAAAAUUUUCUUGUUCAG